CCCUUAGAUGUUCUGGGCUGCACGCGCGUUACACUGAUGCAUUCAACGAGCUUAUAACCUUGGCCGAGAGGCCUGGGCAAUCUUGCUAACGUGCAUCGUGAUAGGGAUAGAUUAUUGAAAUUAUUAAUCUUGAACGAGGAAUUCCUAGUAAACGCAGAUCAUCAAUCUGCAUUGAUUACGUCCCUGCCCUUUGUACACACCGCCCGUCGCACCUACCGAUUGGAUGGUCCGGUGAAGCCUCGGGAUUGUGGUUCUUGCCGCUUUAUUGUGGCGUGACCGCGAGAACUUGUCUAAACCUUAUCAUCUAGAGGAAGGUGAAGUCGUAACA
RNAcentral lists this ribosomal RNA (328 nucleotides) under uncultured eukaryote. RNAcentral's name for it is "partial 18S ribosomal RNA". It matches the Rfam family "Eukaryotic small subunit ribosomal RNA", at positions 1470 to 1796 of the family's 1831-position model. The record is from RNAcentral.